UUACCUGUGCCAGUACCAUGAGUCUGUC
This 28-nucleotide non-coding RNA is filed under the name Mus musculus (house mouse). Lineage: Eukaryota; Metazoa; Chordata; Mammalia; Rodentia; Muridae. The record is from RNAcentral.